Molecule: transfer RNA, 76 nt
Filed under: Erysipelothrix sp.
Lineage: Bacteria; Bacillati; Bacillota; Erysipelotrichia; Erysipelotrichales; Erysipelotrichaceae
Also listed under: 2 other names
Description: tRNA-Arg
Rfam family: tRNA
About the family: Transfer RNA (tRNA) molecules are approximately 80 nucleotides in length. Their secondary structure includes four short double-helical elements and three loops (D, anti-codon, and T loops).
Source: RNAcentral
GCGGCCGUAGCUCAGGGGAUAGAGCGAGCGCCUCCUAAGCGCUAGGUCAUAGGUUCAAUUCCUAUCGGUCGCGCCA